GCUGGGAUAGUUCAGUCCAGUAGAGCAUGAGACUCUUAAUCUCAGAGUCGUGGGUUCAAGCCCCUUGUUGGGCA
This is a non-coding RNA of Podarcis lilfordi (Lilford's wall lizard), 74 nucleotides long. Lineage: Eukaryota; Metazoa; Chordata; Lepidosauria; Squamata; Lacertidae. The record is from the annotation of a GenBank genome assembly.